This 253-nucleotide ribosomal RNA is filed under the name uncultured bacterium. Its description in RNAcentral is "partial 16S ribosomal RNA". It matches the Rfam family "Bacterial small subunit ribosomal RNA", at positions 524 to 776 of the family's 1533-position model. The record is from RNAcentral.
UACGAAGGGGGCUAGCGUUGUUCGGAAUUACUGGGCGUAAAGCGCACGUAGGCGGAUAUUUAAGUCAGGGGUGAAAUCCCGGGGCUCAACCCCGGAACUGCCUUUGAUACUGGAUAUCUUGAGUUCGGAAGAGGUAAGUGGAAUUGCGAGUGUAGAGGUGAAAUUCGUAGAUAUUCGCAGGAACACCAGUGGCGAAGGCGGCUUACUGGUCCGAUACUGACGCUGAGGUGCGAAAGCGUGGGGAGCAAACAGG